Non-coding RNA from Callorhinus ursinus (northern fur seal), 1331 nucleotides. Lineage: Eukaryota; Metazoa; Chordata; Mammalia; Carnivora; Otariidae. The record is from RefSeq and is a predicted model, not a curated record.
GUGCUGGGAAUACAGAGCUUAAAUAGGUAAAGGAAAGAAAUAGCUUCUGACCCCAAGAAACUUGAAAGAUAAAGGGAAAGACAACAAGCAAACAAACAUGAUAAUGGAGAGCCGAUAUCCUGCUGCAGAGCACGUUGGCCAGGCCACCGCUAACUUAUGGCAUGACUCCAGAGAUCAUUAGAGUGACGAUGGGGCCUCUUUUUCAUCAUUUGGCCAAGAACUUUUCAAAGCCUCAUGCUAGUGUUGCCUGCAGCAUCUGGAACUCGGAGCAUAUCUUGGGACAUCUUGCUCAUGGCACCAUGAGAAGCUGAUGGCACGUCGGAGGCAGGAAAAGAAGGGGAAACUGUAGGUGCAGGGAUGAGUCCACAAUCCCCCAAAUCCUUCAUGCCAAGACAUGCCGAAGUCAGGUACCCCUCUCCCUCCUUCUACACACCCAGCUCAUACCCGCUGCCUUCGAGGCCAUCUGGAUCCUGCCAGCAACAGGCCCAUUCUGCAGUUAAAGCGGCUGAAAAGUAGAAAAAAGCACCCAAUUUAGACCAAUUUGGACCAUAACAACUGAAUCCAGACCUUGGUUCCGCAGAAUCCUGAAAAACUUCGUACACGACUGGCUUAUCAAUCAUUCGCUCACUGGCAUGAAGUCGUUUGAUCACUGUGCCUCCCAGGGUGUCGCUCCGACCAGCUAUCUUGAAGACUGUGGAGUUUUGUUUGAGGGGGAGGCUGUCCUAUCAGAUCGUACAUCCACCAGGCAAAGCCUCACAUGCUUAGGCCCAGAUGGAACGAGUCAGGAGGGGAUCCCCAGACUGGAAGGCCUAAUAGGAAUUCGGUAAAUUCUUCCUUUUAUUUCUCUUUCCCUAUUGGAAUAGCAAGAAAAUGUGGUCUGGGGAAAGAUGCUGAAAAUACUGCAGUUGGUAUCCACAUGUCACCACUCAGACGGUGUACUGUAGAACCAAAAACAAAACAAAACAAAAAAGAUGCUAUUGGCAAGUAGACUCAAGUCAGUCCAAUGUAACUCAGAGGGUCUAUAGCGUUUUUGAAGAGUUAAUAUGUAUUAUAAACCCUUUCUCUACUCUUUACUGUCCUAUAACCUAUCUAAGUUGAUAAAAUGUUUAAAAAACUUUCCCCCUGUAUUCAGUGUAUGUUCAUUCUUUCUCCCUCUGCGAGCUUCUCAAAUUCAGAUCAGAACUUUAUGAUUCUUACCUCCUUCCAAUAUCCGCCAGACACAUCAUCCCUUCCCACACUGACACCUUCUGGCGCAUAACACUUCUAUGUAUGUAGAAGUAAUCGGAACAAAUCAUUGUUUACAGAAACAAAAUAAAUCUUAGAUUUAUACA